CGCGGGGUGGAGCAGUUCGGUAGCUCGUCGGGCUCAUAACCCGAAGGUCGCAGGUUCAAAUCCUGCCCCCGCAACCAAA
Molecule: transfer RNA, 79 nt
Filed under: Bacillus velezensis YAU B9601-Y2
Lineage: Bacteria; Bacillati; Bacillota; Bacilli; Caryophanales; Bacillaceae
Description: tRNA-Met
Rfam family: tRNA
About the family: Transfer RNA (tRNA) molecules are approximately 80 nucleotides in length. Their secondary structure includes four short double-helical elements and three loops (D, anti-codon, and T loops).
Source: RNAcentral